Non-coding RNA from Vicia faba (fava bean), 363 nucleotides. NCBI's taxonomy places the organism in Eukaryota, Viridiplantae, Streptophyta, Magnoliopsida, Fabales, Fabaceae. The record is from the annotation of a GenBank genome assembly.
UUCCUCAGGACUCAACACUCAUUAAUCUUUCAACUUCCUUCUCUCUCACGUCGUUUUCCCUCUCUUACGAACUGCUCCUCUCCUUCUUCCUUCCUGUCCACAACACAUGGCAGUUACAAUAUGCAGUUCCCAAUGACAGUUUCCACAAACCUUUAUUUUCUCUCUCACAUUAACUUUCGUUCAUCUCUCACACGUGUUCAUCAUAUUCAUCGCUUCCUCUCGAAAUCACUCCUCAUCUUCUCACGAUUUCAUGGUUUAGAGACAAUAACAAUAAACACUCUUUAUCAUGUUCGAAGAGGUGAUCAUGCUGAUUUAAUUAGGUUGUUGAUGUGUAAUGGUGCAUCAGCAUCAAAAGGAAACUAA